GUAGGAGGCUAGCGUUAUCCGGAUUCACUGGGCGUAAAGCGCGUGCAGGCGGCUCGGUAAGUUGGGCGUGAAAUCUCCUGGCUUAACUGGGAGAGGUCGUCCAAUACUACCGGGCUUGAGAGCAGUAGAGGAAGAUGGAAUUCCCGGUGUAGUGGUGAAAUGCGUAGCAUAUCGGGAGGAACACCAGUGGCGAAGGCGAUCUUCUGGACUGUUUCUGACGCUCAGACGCGAAAGCUAGGGUAGUAAACGGGAUUAGAUACCCUGGUAGUCCUAGCUGUAAACGGUGGGCACUAGGUGUAGGAGGCAUCGACCCCUCCUGUGCCGCAGCUAACGCAUUAAGUGCCCCGCCUGGGGAGUACGACCGCAAGGUUGG
This 373-nucleotide ribosomal RNA is filed under the name uncultured bacterium. RNAcentral describes it as "bacterial SSU rRNA". It matches the Rfam family "Bacterial small subunit ribosomal RNA", at positions 527 to 897 of the family's 1533-position model. The record is from RNAcentral.